RNAcentral lists this transfer RNA (77 nucleotides) under Desulforudis audaxviator. RNAcentral describes it as "Candidatus Desulforudis audaxviator tRNA-Met". It matches the Rfam family "tRNA". Rfam says of the family: Transfer RNA (tRNA) molecules are approximately 80 nucleotides in length. Their secondary structure includes four short double-helical elements and three loops (D, anti-codon, and T loops). Further hydrogen bonds mediate the characteristic L-shaped molecular structure. tRNAs have two regions of fundamental functional importance: the anti-codon, which is responsible for specific mRNA codon recognition, and the 3' end, to which the tRNAs corresponding amino acid is attached (by aminoacyl-tRNA synthetases). tRNAs cope with the degeneracy of the genetic code in two manners: having more than one tRNA (with a specific anti-codon) for a particular amino acid; and 'wobble' base-pairing, i.e. permitting non-standard base-pairing at the 3rd anti-codon position. Lineage: Bacteria; Bacillati; Bacillota; Clostridia; Thermoanaerobacterales; Desulforudaceae. The record is from RNAcentral. RNAcentral also lists the same sequence under 4 other names.
GGCGGAGUAGCUCAGGUUGGUAGAGCAAGCGGUUCAUACCCGCUGCGUCGGGGGUUCAAGUCCCUCCUCCGCUACCA